AGAGACUGGAGAAGCCACCAGUAGGAGGUUAGACUAAAGGUGUUGCAUUUGCUUUGGUUGCUCUGGAUAUCUCUGUUGCAUUUAUUGAGCAUCCCUGAUACACUGGGCAUGGUAUGUGUGCCCUAAAUACAGUGUUCUAAUGAGCCCUCAUGAAGCCUGUCACUCCACUGAGGAGCAGAGAAAUAAACCUAGGAACACUCACCAUUAACCCAAGACUGUUUCCUGUGGUGAUAUCUUGCUUGUAUAAGUAAGCCUGUCUGAAGAUCAGAGGAUAGAGCUUGCCACUAACCAACUAACCAUAGAGGUCUGGAGGUCUGUACAGAGAGACAGGAAGUGAGAUGGCAGAGCAGAAGCAGGAAGUGAAGUGGCUGGGAGAGAGAGGAUAUAAGCAGGAAGAAACAGGAGCUUGAACUCUUUUCCACUGAGACACUAAUGAGGGGCCCACUCAAGAUGGUCAUGAGCAGCCCCAGGCAUGACUUUGGGAACUCCAGUGGAAAGAAGGCAUUCCUUUUUGGCUAGAUCCAGAAAAAGUCCUGCCUAAGACUGACAUUGGCUCUGUUUGGUCACUGAGUCAAAUUCUGACAAACCACAUUGAUUCUUAACAGCACCUGGUGAACACGAGCCUGGACCCUAUAGAACCCUAAGGCUUCACGAGUCUGAGCCUGCAGUUGGACCAGCAUGGCCACUGUUCUGGACCUAUUCCCGUGGCUUGAAUGUGCACACAGUUCAGCUGGCCCAGUUCUACCAGAGGCAAAGGGGUUCCUUGCAGAUGUGAUGCCAGGAGGACAGUCAUGCCUGUGCUUCCAGGAACCCCCAUUCUAUUCUAUGCCAGAGACACACAGAUGGUGGCUGGAUUCCAGCCACAGAUGCAGCUCCCUCAAGAACAGUGAAGCCUACAACAGGAGUGUGCCCCCUCUGGGUCUCAGGCCUGAGGGGACAGUAGCAUCUGUGUGACCGAAGACUCACCCUCUGUGAGUGGAACAGUUAAGGCUGUCUGUGGCCUAGCAUCUGCUGGUCCCAUUCACUAUGGCAAGGCUGUGGACAUUCAGUCUUAGACCUUCUCACCCCAGUGCCUGAACUCAACAGGAAAACGUCAGCUGCAAAGUCCUGGACUCUGCCUGCCAUCACCAUCACUCUACAGACAUCUUCAGCACAUCUCUGUGAGAUUACUUCCUUUAUACUAGGGUUUUGUGUAGCUAUUUCCUCCUGGUGGCAACACUCCUUCCUGGAGAUGCUAAGCUCACAAUGAAGUUACAAGACUCAUGAGGCCCCAGACCCCAUGAGGCUCCCUCCUUGAGGUUAUAUAAGCUUAAACAAUUACUGUAGAGUUACUAGCAUGUUAUUCAGGGAGUUUCAGGGAUGCACCUUUCAUGAGAUUGUCACCCAUGCUGGAGGGGAGGAGGGAUUUUCAGCAGUACAGCAGCCUGAGUCACCUAUGUUCCUGUAAGUGACCCAAAUAAACUCAUUGGUUCACUAAGUUAAACUGGGGUGAAAUAGUUUUUUUAGCCCAUUGUCGGCACCCUAUCUGACGUCCAUGGACAUCUGCUCACAUCUCCAGCAGGACAAUACUGAGGAUUUAUAUGUAAUGUAUUAUUUUGCUCUCGGGCUAACUCCAUUGAGUAUGGUACAAUGAAUAUUCCCACAUUUUCCUAAACUGGAAACUGAGACACCAAGGUUAAAGAGCUCCUGAAGAAGCACAGAGAAAGGGAAGUGGAGAUUUCCCAUUUGUCAGGCAAAGUGGGAAGGUCUGCAGUGAAUCCAUAUCAGGUUAGAGAAAAGGGGUGUCGACAGAGAUUCAAGCUCCUGGUGAGAGAUGAAGGCAAUGUGGGGGGUGGGGGGACACACAUCAGGGCAAGUAUCGUUUGCAUGAGUCCUAACCCACUAAAAACUGUGAAGUGAAAAUAGUUUAAAACAAGGACAAUCAAGGUGGAGUCCCACAUGUGAGCAGUGUGAUGGCACUCGGGAUGGAGUCCCAGGGGUGAGCAGUGUAAUGUGCUGGCGCAAAAAUAAAAUGCAAGUUGAGUCUUCAUAACUGGUGGUGGCAGAGUCUUUCUGGGAGCUUCUUGCCUUGCGACAUGUUGGGAGAAUGAAAUAAUUUAAAACAAGCACUUUCAGAGUGAGCAAGGAUUACCUUGCUGAUUCUACAAAUGAGUAAAUGGAAGCAUUCCUGGAAGGUUCUGUGCAGCUUGUAUAACGGACUCCAUAAGCUUCAUAAGCUUCAUGAAAGCUAGGAAAUGGAAAG
RNAcentral lists this long non-coding RNA (2242 nucleotides) under Cricetulus griseus (Chinese hamster). Its description in RNAcentral is "lncRNA (ENSCGRG00015035583.1)". Lineage: Eukaryota; Metazoa; Chordata; Mammalia; Rodentia; Cricetidae. The record is from RNAcentral.